GGCGGACGGGUGAGUAGCGCGUGGGAAUCUACCCAGUAGUGGGGGACAACUACCGGAAACGGUAGCUAAUACCGCAUACGCCCUAUGGGGGAAAGGCUUCGGCCGCUAUUGGAUGAGCCCGCGUCAGAUUAGCUAGUUGGUAGGGUAAAGGCCUACCAAGGCAACGAUCUGUAGCUGGUCUGAGAGGACGAACAGCCACACUGGGACUGAGACACGGCCCAGACUCCUACGGGAGGCAGCAGUGGGGAAUAUUGGACAAUGGGCGAAAGCCUGAUCCAGCAAUGCCGCGUGUGUGAAGAAGGCCUGCGGGUUGUAAAGCACUUUCAGUUGGGGAGAUGAUGACGUUACCAACAGAAGAAGCUCCGGCUAAAUCCGUGCCAGCAGCCGCGGUAAUACGGAUGGUGCGAGCGUUAAUCGGAAUUACUGGGCGUAAAGCGCGC
This 440-nucleotide ribosomal RNA is filed under the name uncultured Pseudomonadota bacterium. Its description in RNAcentral is "bacterial SSU rRNA". It matches the Rfam family "Bacterial small subunit ribosomal RNA", at positions 97 to 570 of the family's 1533-position model. Lineage: Bacteria; Pseudomonadati; Pseudomonadota. The record is from RNAcentral.